CCUGUUUAUCAAAAACAUCGCCUCUUGCAUAAAAAUAAGAGGUCUAGCCUGCCCAGUGACCAUAGUUCAACGGGCCGCGGGUAUCCUAACCGUGCGAAGGUAGCGUAAUCACUUGUUCUUUAAAUGAGGACUAGUAUGAAUGGCAUCACGAGGGUUAUACUGUCUCCUUUUUCUAAUCAGUAAAACUAUUCUCCCCGUGAAGAAACGGGGAUAAACAUAUAAGACGAGAAGACCCUAUGGAGCUUUAAAUUUUAUUUCAACUGCUCUUCCGUCUAAUCUGUUCUGACUUAUUACCCCUAACCGAGCAUAAUGUAAAUAAAUUUUAGGUUGGGGUGACCGCGGAGCACAAUAAAACCUCCACAUAGAACAGGCCUAAGCCUUGAACAAAGAACCACAAUUCCAAGCACUAAUAUAUUAACAUCCAUUGACCCAAUAUUUUUGAUCAACGAACCAAGUUACCCUAGGGAUAACAGCGCAAUCUACUUUGAGAGCUCCUAUCGACAAGUAGGUUUACGACCUCGAUGUUGGAUCAGGGUAUCCCAGUGGUGCAGCCGCUACUAAAGGUUCGUUUGUUCAACGAUUAAAACCCUACGUGAUCUGAGUUCAGACCGG
RNAcentral lists this ribosomal RNA (612 nucleotides) under Scinax longilineus. RNAcentral describes it as "Ololygon longilinea partial 16S ribosomal RNA". It matches the Rfam family "Bacterial large subunit ribosomal RNA", at positions 1799 to 2619 of the family's 2925-position model. The record is from RNAcentral. Lineage: Eukaryota; Metazoa; Chordata; Amphibia; Anura; Hylidae.